RNAcentral lists this ribosomal RNA (252 nucleotides) under uncultured microorganism. Its description in RNAcentral is "partial 16S ribosomal RNA". It matches the Rfam family "Bacterial small subunit ribosomal RNA", at positions 524 to 776 of the family's 1533-position model. The record is from RNAcentral.
UACGUAGGUCCCGAGCGUUGUCCGGAUUUAUUGGGCGUAAAGCGAGCGCAGGUGGUUUAAUAAGUCUGAUGUAAAAGGCAGUGGCUCAACCAUUGUGUGCAUUGGAAACUGUUAGACUUGAGUGCAGUAGAGGAGAGUGGAAUUCCAUGUGUAGCGGUGAAAUGCGUAGAUAUAUGGAGGAACACCGGUGGCGAAAGCGGCUCUCUGGACUGUCACUGACACUGAGGCUCGAAAGCGUGGGUAGCAAACCGG